UACGAAGGGGGCUAGCGUUGCUCGGAAUCACUGGGCGUAAAGGGUGCGUAGGCGGGUUUUUAAGUCAGGGGUGAAAUCCUGGAGCUCAACUCCAGAACUGCCUUUGAUACUGAAGAUCUCGAGUCCGGGAGAGGUGAGUGGAACUGCGAGUGUAGAGGUGAAAUUCGUAGAUAUUCGCAAGAACACCAGUGGCGAAGGCGGCUCACUGACCCGGUACUGACGCUGAGGCACGAAAGCGUGGGGAGCAAACAGG
RNAcentral lists this ribosomal RNA (253 nucleotides) under uncultured bacterium. RNAcentral describes it as "partial 16S ribosomal RNA". It matches the Rfam family "Bacterial small subunit ribosomal RNA", at positions 524 to 776 of the family's 1533-position model. The record is from RNAcentral.